AACGCACCUUGCGCCCCUUGGUAUUCCGAGGGGCACACCCGUUUGAGUGUCGUGAAUACUCUCAACCUUCUCGGUUUCUUUGACCAGGAAGGCUUGGACUUUGGAGGUUUUCCUUGCUGGCCUCUUUUGAAGCCAGCUCCUCCUAAAUGAAUUGGUGGGGUCCACUUUGGCGAUCCUCGACGUGAUAAGGAUUUCUUCUACGUCUUGGGUUUCGCAGUGUAACCGCUUUCUAACCGUCUUUGAAGAAAGACAAUGUUCAUAAACCUUGACCUCAAAUCGGGUGAGACUACCCGCUGAACUUAA
Molecule: ribosomal RNA, 303 nt
Filed under: uncultured Russula
Lineage: Eukaryota; Fungi; Basidiomycota; Agaricomycetes; Russulales; Russulaceae
Description: eukaryotic LSU rRNA
Source: RNAcentral